GCAUAUGUAUUUAUAAAGUUCAGCAGCCAUAUGAGAAAUUAGCCUCUGUAUUCACCGGGGUCCUCCCACCCCUCUGUCUUCUUCUCUAAUCCGCCCACAUGUAUCGUCUGAGGAAAAAAAUAGUGCAGAAGGUGACGCUCCUCCAAAGGAACAGAGAGAGGCACAAGAGAGGGAAAGGCAAAGAGAGCGAGGUGUCUACAGGCUGCAUCUCCACUGAAACAUUUGGAUGGGGGAGACAGAGGAAGAGCUGAAUGGUAGCUACACCCUGCGCCUGGAAGCGUAGAGACACUGUAACAAAGGCUGGCAAUUAUUUUUGUUUUUGGCAAUAACAAAGGUGGGAGAGGGGCUCUGAAAUCGAGGGGAAAUAGCCAAAAGACAGAUUUUUGUUUUUCAGGGGGACUUCUGCUUCAUUUCAUCCGAAAGACUCAUCCCGUGCCAUCAUCAGCAUGACCAUAAGCUCUAAGUAACAUUCGGCAAUAACGCUAUCAAAACAAGAUUUCCAGCAACAGUCGCGCGCAAUCCUAUUUCUGAUUUAUUAUAAUCGUGUGGAGGAAAAAACCCUCCACAAAAAACAGAAAAAAACAAACAAACCCCAAAAACAGAUCAGCUGAAUGCCUGCGAGAAACUGGAUACUCUGUGAAAUCGUAAGAAAGAGCGAUCUAACAAAGAAAACUACAUUUUGAUUGAUCUUUUUAAAGCUUGAUGUGCGUGUUUCUGCGCGCACUCGAAUCGAACCAGAACCAAAAGCAAACUCCUCAGACUCCUCCCUCCUCCUCCCUUCGGUUUCUCUCAUCCUCUCCCUCCCCCCGGUCCUCUAUGCUCAGUUCGGUGUGUGUAUCCUCUUUUAAAGGGCGCAAGGGUGGGAACAAGUCGUCCAACAAAGCAUGUUACAGCGCAGACAUGACUUGUCCGUCGGAAAGCGAGAAAAUCGUGAUAAACUGCGGGGGGGUGCGGCAUGAGACCUACCGGAGCACCCUAAAAACGUUGCCCGGUACCCGCUUGUCGUGGCUCACCGAGCCGGACGCGUUCAGCAACUUCGACUACGACCCCAAAUUAGACGAGUUCUUCUUCGACCGCCACCCGUCGGUGUUUUCCUUCAUCCUCAACUAUUACCGCACCGGGAAGUUGCACUGUCCCAACGAUGUGUGCGGUCCCCUGUUCGAAGAGGAGCUGGCCUUCUGGGGCAUCGAUGAGACGGACGUGGAGGCUUGUUGCUGGAUGAAUUACCGGCAGCAUCGGGAUGCGGAGGAGGCGCUGGACAGCUUCGAGACUCCAGAACCGGACGCGCCAGACGACGACCCGGCGCUGGGUGGUGCGGAUGGGGACUUGAAAAGACUGUGCAUGCAAGAGGACGCGAGGAAAGCGGGCUGGUGGAAAACCUGGCAACCCAGAAUAUGGGCGCUCUUUGAAGACCCCUAUUCCUCCAAAUAUGCCCGGUAUGUGGCUUUUAUCUCCCUAUUCUUCAUCCUCAUCUCCAUAUCCACGUUCUGCAUGGAGACGCACGAGGCCUUCAACACCAUCCUCAACAAGACAGAGAACGUCACAGUGGGCAACAUGACGCGUGAGGAGAUAGUUUAUGAGGUGGUGACUGACAGCUGGUUGACAUAUGUGGAAGGUGUGUGUGUCAUUUGGUUCACCAUUGAGGUCCUGCUUCGAGUCACCUUCUGCCCAGACAAGUUUGAAUUCUUCAAAAGCACCCUCAACAUCAUCGAUUUUGUUGCCAUCCUGCCCUUCUAUCUGGAGGUUGGUCUGAGUGGGCUGUCCUCCAAAGCUGCCAAGGAUGUCCUGGGGUUCCUGCGUGUUGUCCGAUUUGUUCGUAUCCUCCGAAUCUUCAAGCUGACUCGCCACUUCGUAGGUCUCCGUGUCCUUGGCCACACCCUGCGUGCCAGUACCAAUGAAUUCCUCCUGCUCAUCAUCUUCUUAGCUCUUGGUGUCCUCAUCUUUGCCACUAUGAUCUACUAUGCUGAACGAAUUGGCGCAGACCCAGAUGACCCAACAGCCAGUGCCCAUACCAACUUCAAGAACAUUCCCAUUGGAUUUUGGUGGGCUGUUGUGACCAUGACCACGCUGGGUUAUGGAGAUAUGUACCCGGAGACAUGGUCAGGGAUGCUGGUGGGUGCGCUGUGUGCCUUGGCUGGUGUGCUAACCAUUGCUAUGCCUGUACCUGUCAUUGUCAACAACUUCGGCAUGUACUACUCUCUGGCUAUGGCCAAACAAAAGCUUCCCAAAAAGAAGAACAAACAUAUCCCCCGAGCGCCACAACCAGGGUCCCCCAACUACUGCAAGCCAGAUGCCUUGGCGAUGGCUACUGCAUCACCGCAAAGAAUCUUGGGAAAUGUCUUGGGAGGAGUGAUGGGGUCUGGAGGAAUAGCAGGUGACUGUCCUCUUGCCCAAGAAGAAAUUAUAGAGAUCAACAGAGAUUCUAAGCAGAAUGGUGACGCAGCCUCAGCCGCCUUGGCUAAUGAGGACUGCCCCACCAUCGACCAGGUGCUGAGCCCGGAUGAGAGGAGUCCUAUUGGGCGAGGCCCCACUCGGGAACGCUACCAGCAGGACAGAGCCUGCUUCCUUCUUAAUACCAGGGAAUUCCGUGCCACAGAUGGGAAUGUGCGGAAAGAGGCAGCAGCCCUGGCACCCAGCCCAGACUCCCCUCUGACUGAGGAUUGGUAUAAGAUGGAGGGGUCUCUGUUACAGCAGGACCUCAAUGCAAACUCCACAUCUUCCUGGAUCAAACCAUAGACCAGAGGUUGUGUCAUAUCACGCGUGUGUAUGUGCGCUUUUUUCAUUCUUACAUGUUAUACACUGUGUCUCUGUCCUCUCAAUGCCGUCUGAGUGUUGUGUUUGUGUUUGUCGUGUGUGGCUUAAUUUAGUUUUUUCCCUUCCUAUUGUGUUUUACUCCCUACCCCACGGACCUCCACCUUGGCAAACAGAAGUGCACACUGCAAUUUAUAAAAAAAUGUUUGACUAUAAACAACACCUUUCUAUUUACACCUGUAUAUAUAAUAUGUACAUAUACUCGCACACUGGUUGUACGCACUAACAGUGGCAUUUGUCCCUGCUAUGCCGUGAUGUGGCCACAAGGAUUUGCAAAAUUACAAGUACAUAUGCACCAUCUCUAAUCAGCUGGUCUGCACUGAUACUUUAACACAUUGUGAUUGCAGUGCUGGACAUCACCUUUCCAAGGCCCAAGGUAACUGGGGUCACUGGAGCCAUCUGUGUCAGGGGAUAUCACUUUGUGAAACAUGGCACGCUUAACACUAGCAAACAUUUUAAAGAAUGGGUUGAUCAAAAAACAAACAAAUAAAAAAUCGACCUAUAAAUUAGUUAUAAUAACAGAGUGCUAAUUUACAAAAUAAGCGUGUAAUGGAUCUGAAAUACUAUCCCCUGACCGUAUAACUGUGCUUUCAGUGCCUAGUGUAGUCCAAAGAUUAGGACCUUUUGUAUGAGUACUGUGGAGAAAUCAGAAGGAACAUAAGCUGCACUUGGUGACUGAAACACUUACCGACCAGACAGAAAGACAAAUGCUAUGACAGAGUUGACCGAAAAAGCGGCUUCAUGUUGUCUAAGGUAAGCGAGCCUCGAGCUGUCCGAGCCUUUCAGUUAGAGGUUGCUGACAUCGCUGCAGUUUUUAAUGGUUUUCUAUAUGUAAUAUAAAAUCUAGGUGCUACAAAGAUCCCUCUUUAAAACAAAUCAGGAGUCCAUUGAGCAAAACAAGUGCUGGGGUUAUUAGGAUGCUGCUUAGGGCUUGUAAUUUGUAGGUAAGCGAUGUAUAAAAGUCUUUAUUGUUUUAGUGUGUAUUUUAAUGUUGAGCCUUGUGCACUGGGGGAAGAGACUGUACUAAGUGCUUACAGUAAAUACCAAAUAAAUUUCUUUAUUUCUCUGACACCUGAUUCUCUAGUAUCUGAUAACAAGAUUCCAUGUCUAUAAGCCCCGUGUUAGACAAAUGACCUGGCCAAGGUGAUGUCAACCUCUUUCCUAUUGAGGGGAAAAAGAUAGCUAUAUAGGAGCAUUCAAACUUACAUGACUAAUCUGUUAAAAUUGUGAAUCCGAAGUUUUGAAAAAUCAAGAAAAUGAACAAAAAGCACUGGGUUUAUGACAGUUAUGAUGGUCCCUGCUCUCCACUUGUUUUUAAAGAGGGAUUUCACGCUGACUAAAAAUCAUUCUUGUGUGCUUUAUUUGUGAUUUAUUUUGUAGAUAUAUGCAUAAGGUGUUUUUGCCAACUUAUUUUCUUAGCUUCUCAGAUUCUUUUGUUGGAUUGUUGGCCAUUUGACUUCCUACGCACCCAGUGCUGUAUGCAUGGCUCACUAAGGUCAAACGGUCAAUCACCCCCCUCUGAUUGCUCACUCCAAAUCACUCCUCCAGACCUUCUUCAAGGAGUUUAUAUUGGCUUCUGUCUCUCUCUUCUUUGUCUCUCUUCUUCUCCACACUCUUUCCUCUGUAUAUGUAUAUGAGUUUUUUUUGUUCUGUUCUGUGUUUCUAACAUGUUGUGUGCAUCUUUUAUUAAGUAUUACUGUGAUGUGAUAUCCAGCAGUUUUGUAAAAAAAAAAAAAGUAUUUAUUUGAAUGCUUUAUUGUUUCGAGGUGUAUGUGUAUGGAUUGAGUUGAUUUAUGUUAAUUUUAAUUAUAUUUUGCUGUAUUCUAUAUUUUGUUUUGGUUUGUUUUUCUCUUGAUAUUGUGUUUUGUACAAGUUGUUUUUGUUGUUUUGUGUUUUGUGACUUCCCUCGUGUUCUUCCUGUGAUCCCCUUUGAGUUUCACCAUCACCUGCGAUUCGUCUUUUCUGAAUCGGAGUGACAAACAAAACUGCCAACAAAACAGCGGAACGAAUUAACAGAAAAGUGGUGCAAAUCUCGCUGGUUAAAGGCAUUCUCAAGAGCAUAUUUGGCCAAAACGUUCACUACUUAUUAGCAAAUCCGUACUAUGUGCAGUAAAUCUGUAGAGCAUUACAUUCAUUUCAGCUAACAUGAGCACAUUGCUAGUAAAUGUAUAAAACUCCACCCACUAUAAGUCAGUCAGUCAUUGUUAGAGCAGAUAGCUGCUAUCUAACAAUGGGGCCUUUCACUACAGCUGAUGCAACAACACUGUGAGCACAACACAACCUUGUUUGUGGCUGCUUCCUACAAGGAGGGCUCAAUAUCUACAUGAAGUGUUUUGAACCAAAAAUACAGUGGGAAAGGAAACAUAGGCCAGUGUGCUCAUUCUUAGAUGAAUUGGCUAUAUGUUAAGCUAAAUGCAAAGUGUCAUGCAUUAUAAUUUAAAGGUACUUUUGUAGCUGGAAAGAGUUUUAAAUGAACUUCUUUGUAAUGUGACAUUUCCCACUGUGAUCAAAAUAGAAAGUGACUCAAUAGUCACUCACAACAGGAUGUGAUCACCGAGGGUACAAAGUGAUUUAAAUGUGGCUGAGAGGACAUUUUUGUUUUGGCCAUUUGAAGUUCAUACCAAGUAAAUACAAAAUGGGCUGCUGACAAAGCAUAAUGCAAGGCAAUUCAUGAUUCCACAUAAACUUCAUGUGGUCAACUACAAUGUAUCAGUGAUAUCAGAGUAUUUGCUGUUGUGUGUUUGUGUUAAACUGUUCGGUUUUGGCCAAAUAGUUGUCCAAAUUACCUGAACAUCGGACGUUACCGUUCACAAGGUGUUGGGUAAUUGGUGUUAGAUUUUUUAAUACUUAUUAGCAAAUCCGUACUAUGUGCAGUAAAUCUGCUGCAUUUUCAUGGAAGGAUAAGUAUAUAAUUUAUUUAGAGACUUUAAACAGAUACGAUGCUGAGGUUUACAGGAAAGAAAUGCUCUUCAUUGACAUUUCAUCUGCUCUUUUUUUACCCCAUUGUUUAAUAUUGUUAAUUUUGACACGGAUUAAAGUUAACUGUUGGCAGAAAUAUUUUUCAAGCCACCACAGACCUGUCUGUUGUUUCUGUCUGUGCUCGCGGUCAUUACCAGAGCGACACGCUAACUCUAAAAGUAACUCCUCAAAGCCUUUUCCCAUAACCCGUGUGAAAGUGUGUUUUAUGUGGUAACACUUGUCAGUCCUCUCAUGUGUUCUCUUUACGGUUGACACAGUAUGUAAAACUCGCUCUACAUUGCCAUGCAUGAUCUGAUAUUUGUAACAAUACCACUGUGUGUGUCUUACUGUGUUUCCCCUAUCAUGCUCUGCAAAUAUUCUCUCUGAGCCAGAUUUUUACCGAUACACAUAUAUGCACAGCGUAUAUUCACGUAUAUGUACAAGAAGCAGGGACAUAAAAUAUUAAUUGGGUUUGACAUGAACUGCAUAGGUCUGACCUACAUGCUACAAACUAGAGUAUGUAGGAUACAGCUGGAUGUUAUAUCUUCUCUAGAAGAUAUAGUAGGAGCUGUAUGUAGUGUAUGCACAUAUUGUGGCUUCAGUAAUGGUCAUGACCAAAUCAAUACAUUUCAUUAUUGGUAACAGGAGAUCAUACGAUCUUUAACAGGCAAUUUAUACCAUGUAAGAAUGAUCCAGUGUGUAAGUGGCCAUUCUUAGAAAAGAAUCAAACAGUCAUUGAAGCUAUAAACAGUGAUAGAAAACAGGUUAUUGCCUUCACAGUGUGUUUUUUAAGGCUAUUUUUUGAGUCAGUCUUAAUUUCACAUGAUUAUGUGCUUGGUAAACAGUCUGGCAACAAUAUUUGCAGUGCUGUCUCUGUUCCUCUGUGUCUUCCCUCGACAUAGUCUUCUCCUUGUGUGAUUAACACUCAUUCUCCAUCCCAUCCCCAGGCCGCCACUGCAGUGCAAGUGUAACUAAAGUCUGACUCUAGUGUUAAGUUUCUAGCAUUCCCCCUCUCUCUAAGGAAGAGUCCAUAACCGGUAAACACAAAUUUGCGGCGGGAGCCACAUAACGACAGGUGUGACACGGAUGGACAGUUAAAAGGAGAUCUUUGGGGUGACAAGAGAGACCAGAGGUUAAUCAUGAAUUAAAAAAUCAUAUGGUCUGCUCCUCACAUUGUUACCAAAGCAGCCUCUCGGAACUCCGACCACACUUUUGACAGCUGUCUGACUGACCUUUUCUUUUCCUUUCCUUUGGCAAACUGACUGAGCAUUGCACUUACACACUUUGGGAGAAAAAAGGACUCCUUAGUUCACAUUCCAGAUGACAUCUCUCUGACACUAAUACUCGCCAUCUUGUAUGAAGACCAACUCAGUGCUGUCUACAGUACUGAACAACUGAGCAACUUUGAGUUUCUGAAAAAACAAAACAAACAAACAAACAAAAAAAACACGUCUUCAACGGGACUGAAUGAACAAUGUAGCAUCUCUGCUAACAUAUUGUAGCAUUUGUUGGCUGGGAAAUAACUUGACUUAACUCAUCAACCGUUCACAGAGAGAGGAAUUUAUGCAUUCACGGGAUCUUUUAGAUGUCAUUUUCCUCUUGGGUUCCUUUUCCAGUUAAAAAAACAAAAAACGAGUACACGAGAGACAAAGGAUUGGUCUUACUCAUUAAAACACCUGGCAUUCACAUAUAUAUAUUUUAUAUAUAUAUUCAUAAACAUAUAUACAUAUAUAUGGCCCAUUUGGGGGACCCUAUGUGUAUAUAUAUAUAUAUAUAUUGAUAUGUAUAUAUGUAUACAUAUAUAUAUUACACCCAUAUGGUCCCUUGUUCAAGCUUAGCACGUGUAUAGUAUGUUUGCCACUGAAUCUAUGUCUUCCAUUAACUUUUAUCUGACUGAAACACUGCCCUCCUCACAGCACUGAUAUAAAAAAACACUACAAACUAUACCAAGUGUGAAGCACAUGUAAACAAAGCACAUGUAGCAUCUGCUCAAACAUGUCACAUAUGGCAUUUACUGUACAUUUAUACUCACCUGAAGCAGUCACUGCAACAAAAUAGUGAGAAAAGACUUGUCUUUAUCUCUCAUGUACUGACAUGGGCUUGCCCAAAGGUCCUGUAGCAUGCACUUGCUGAAUGACCUUCUUUAAUGUAUUGUAGAUUGAGGAAAUAUUCCAUUAAGGGUGAGUUUUAUACUUGCCCUACAAUUCAUUGCCCUAAUAGAACUUACCUAUUUAACUGCCACUAUCCCUAUCCUGAUUUGCACAUAUAGAAUAUUUUUCCCAUGUCUGACUGACUCAGCAUUCAGCCAUGGGGAGUAAAGAGAGGUGAAGUCCUCAUCGAUCAAGGGAUAGCAGCCUUCCUGAAUGACAAAUAAGACCAUACCACUACAAGAACUGUUUUUAAUUCACUCUCCAGUGGUUGUAAUUUCAAUGUUAUUUUGAAAGGGACCAAUCAGAUAAAUAUUUCCCCUCAACACAAAGGCCGUCACUGCCAGUCAAGGCACAGGACUCCCUGGACUCACACUGCCCCAUCUCUCCCUUGCCCUUGAUGUGAACGACUUCACGGGCAAGUCGGUGUCAAGAUAAAGAUGGCCCAUUUCGGGGACCCUUACGCGAAGAGUUAAACCAGAAGACGUGGACCAAGAGUAGAGCAAAUGCGGAAGUGUACAAAGAGAACAAAUCUAUAUUUUGAUAAACAAAUCCACAGCUCUCCAUUACUUUGGAGGAGAUUUCUGAGCAGAAAAAAAGUCCAGAAUGACAGAAAAAAAAGAGUCAGAUGCAAAUGUGAUUUGAGUAUUUGGCAUCAAGAAAUGGAGUCAAAGUCCUAUAAAAAUACGGAGAGCAAAUAAUCUGUUAUAAGGGGUGUGCAAAGCUGUUUACCCCACAAGCACUGAGAAAAUGUUUUCUGAAAGACAAUGAGCAAUGACAGACUGCACCUACAAAGACAUAGGGAUGAUGGAGGAUGGACGAUGAGAUAAACAAAUGGAGAAAAAAGAUAAUGCAUUUUUGUAACUUUGUUUACCAGCAUGACUACUUUGCAUGACUGUCUUUUCUGCAAGCCCUUAGUUGAAGACAAGGGUGCUAGAGAUACAAAAAAAUAUAUAUAAAAUUAAUUAAAAAAAUGUUAUAUGCAAUUAAUGUUUUAAAAAAGAUUAUAAUGAAAGAGAAGAGCUAUAUUUUGUUUUGAAAAGUUAAAAAAAUGUGAAUAUUGAAACAUGUAUGUUUGCAAAGUACACCCUGAACUAUGUUUUGUUUGAUGAAAUCUCUCUGCUACUACUGCCCUACAUUCGUCAUUCCAGUGUUUUUGACCUUUUCUGUCACUGUUUUAUUUUCUAAUGCACUGAGCAGUAUAUUUUUUAACUCUUCUAAGUCAACAGUGGUCAUUCAAGACUUUGCCUAUAGCACCUGCGCAAAGGCUUUCUUUCCUGGGAUGUUCUUCGUUUUUUUUGUUAGGUCCAUGUUUUCCUCCUUGAUUCAUUUGCACAACUUACGUAGCAGCAGCAGCAAGAGCAGCAGCAGUUCUAAAACAGCAGCACUCCAUACCACAACUUUGACAGCUUGAAUACUACUCAUAGUUUGCUUUUUUCUUUGGCAAUAAUACAGUAGUUGUCACAAGAUUGUAGCAGGUCAAAUGGAGAACCUUGAGUCCUUGGAGUAUCUUUAAAAUCUCAGUGUUAGAGAUUUAUAAAGGCCUUGGAUGUCCCAUGGCAGGAUUUUGCUAGGAUAGGCAAUUCUGUUCCAUUCAUAGAAACAUGGGAGUAGAUGUGUAGGUUAUCCAAUAAAGACCAAUAACAGUACGAAAGAUACUAUAUUGGCAAAUAGUCGGAGAUAUCAGGUUUGCAUGGAACCAACUGCCAUUCCAAAAUUUGUGUGGUUUUAAGGACUCAGGUGUGUCAAUGAUGUGCUUGGAUGUAGGUGUUUUGCUAUUUUCUUUCUAAGAUAAAAAAAAAUCCUAGUAUAUAGACAACGAUAAUGUGAACACCUCACAGUGAUGUGUAAAAACGCAUGCAUUAUGACUUGAUAAUCUCUCAAGGGGGGGAACAGAGUCUUGACAUAUUCCCUUAGCCUCCUAUCAUUGUUUGUCAUGAAUCCAGUCCUGAUAACUAUAAACACUGUGCCGUGUUGUAGAGCAGAAACGUCUUCCUCCAAGAGGCAACUGAAAACUACUCACACUCACAGUGUCAGCAUGAGUGUGUAGAGGUAGCUCGUCUUCGUUUUUUUAGAUGGUCAGGUCUUUGCAUUCGUCACUUACCAUGGUUAUCGUCAUCCAGCUGGCUAGUUGGCAGCUUAUUACAGCAAACAGCACAGUCAUGUGAGUACCAAUCAAAAAGACCCAGAGCUUCCAAAAUGAUGUCAGAAAGUGGGAACGAAAGGGUGAGAAAUACCAGUGUCCACCAAGGGGAGAUUGAUAAUGAUGUAAUAAGUAAAAAAUAAUGUCACUGUUGAGUGCUCUCUAAGCCCCUCAUCCUUGUCUUGGUAUUCCAAGUGAGUUUCAGGCCCUGCUGGUCCAGGGCUUAGCUCAGGCAGCUGCACGGUUCUUUGUCCAUUCCUAGUACAUUGCAGUUGGAGGCUCACCAGAAUAUGAGACUCAGUGGUGUGAUGUAGACUGUAGAAGUCUUUCAAAAAUUCUGUCGAGUCUACACUGGUUUUACAGGGUCUAGAACUUUUGUCUAUUUGCAUUAAAUGGUCCAUGGGAUUUCUUUUUUGGUCCCGUAUCUUUUUAAAACUCACAAUUUCAGUUCCCAUUUUGGAAGGCAUUAAGCUACUAUGGCUUUGAUGGUCACAAAGAUGUUUAUGAAUAUUUCAGAGGUAAACUUCCUCCAAUGGUGCGCACACUUGCAAAAACCUUGUGCUUCACCCAGCUGUUUUUGUUUUUAUGGCCAAGUAGUGUCUUUUCCUCUUUUUCUUUUUCAUGGUUACAGUCUUUAUUUCCUUCAUUCUCUACGUUGUGGCUGCUCUGCCAAUGCCAGGCUGAAAAAGAUGUCUUUCCUUUUCCAAUGCAUAAUACUGCCAUUUGAUUUAGACACGUUUGAAGAGAAUGAGCUACAAUGUUGAGAGUGCUAAGUCUGUUUUAUUUUUACAAUCUGUUAAAAAUGUUAUAAAUUUCAUGUAGAAACACUCACCGUAACCAAAAGAACAAAUUUGCUUUACAUGGUAAGGAGGUGCAACUGUUGUGACAAUGACUAUUAUGUAUGUGGACAUGUCAUCUGCAGGUGUUGGGAAAGUGUCAUGUGGUCCUUGGAUGACACAUACUCAAUGGUAACCAUUUUCUUUAUAUGCUCGUUUAUGUUUAAUAUGUUUUUCUGUUUUUCUUUUUUAAAUUGAGGACACGGUAUGCAAUCUGCACCACGAAUGCCACUGAUAGACACUUACUGUAUGCUCCCUGAGACACAGAUAUUCUGUCAUCAGUUUAGAUGAUUGCAAUGUGUAGUGGCUUUAUGGUUUUCCAUAGAGUGACUUAGCAAUCACACUAAUUGAAAAAUAUUUUAUUUUACAAAUUAAUAAUAACAGAGUUGUUAUCAAUGUUAUCAUACUAACUACAUUUUUCUAACAUAUAUCAUAUAUCUUAUUUUAAUUAGAAAUAUAAUGAUUAAAACAAAGUCAUACCCAAUAUACGUUGAACUAACAGUACAUAGUAUCAUUAUGCAUCCAAAGAUGAAGACAUAUUCAUUUUAGAAGCUAUCAAACUGUCUAAAACAGACUUAAGUACUAGUCCAUUGUACUGCGGUCUAAGUAGGAGAGUGAAUGGGGCGAAGAGGUGGUCACUGGAUUAUCUGGUUGUGACUUAUGCCGGAUUUUAUUUUUGAAAUGUUGUAAAACAAAGAACAACUCAUCAAGAACUGUAUAAAGUAUAUUUCAAUGGAAUGUUCAUGAUCUAUCUUUUUAUAUUUUGAAGAAAAAAUAGAAACAUAUCAAUAAAGUGUCAUAAUUGAACAUA
Molecule: RNA transcript, 11706 nt
Organism: Oreochromis niloticus (Nile tilapia)
Lineage: Eukaryota; Metazoa; Chordata; Actinopteri; Cichliformes; Cichlidae
Gene: kcnc3b
Gene name: potassium voltage-gated channel, Shaw-related subfamily, member 3b
Exons: 7
Source: RefSeq, a predicted model, not a curated record